RNAcentral lists this ribosomal RNA (253 nucleotides) under uncultured bacterium. Its description in RNAcentral is "partial 16S ribosomal RNA". It matches the Rfam family "Bacterial small subunit ribosomal RNA", at positions 524 to 776 of the family's 1533-position model. The record is from RNAcentral.
UACGGAGGGGGCAAGCGUUGCUCGGAAUCACUGGGCGUAAAGGGCGCGUAGGCGGGGAGGUAAGUCGGGUGGGAAAUCCCUCGGCCCAACCGAGGAACUGCGCCCGAGACUGCUUCUCUUGAGUCCCGGAGAGGAAGAUGGAAUUCCCGGUGUAGCGGUGAAAUGUGUAGAGAUCGGGAGGAACACCGGUGGCGAAGGCGGGCUUCUGGACGGUGACUGACGCUGAGGCGCGAAAGCGUGGGGAGCAAACGGG